Molecule: ribosomal RNA, 253 nt
Filed under: uncultured bacterium
Lineage: Bacteria
Description: partial 16S ribosomal RNA
Rfam family: Bacterial small subunit ribosomal RNA
Source: RNAcentral
UACGAAGGGUGCAAGCGUUACUCGGAAUUACUGGGCGUAAAGCGUGCGUAGGCGGUUUGUUAAGUCCGCUGUGAAAGCCCUGGGCUCAACCUGGGAAUUGCAGUGGAUACUGGCAAGCUAGAGUGCGGUAGAGGAUGGUGGAAUUCCCGGUGUAGCGGUGAAAUGCGUAGAUAUCCGGAGGAACACCAGUGGCGAAGGCGACUUUCUGGCCUGUUCUUGACGCUGAGGCGCGAAAGCUAGGGGAGCAAACGGG